RNAcentral lists this transfer RNA (84 nucleotides) under Fasciola hepatica (liver fluke). RNAcentral describes it as "tRNA-Ser". Lineage: Eukaryota; Metazoa; Platyhelminthes; Trematoda; Plagiorchiida; Fasciolidae. The record is from RNAcentral.
GGCCUGGUAGCUCGGCUGGUGGAGCACUCGCGGUACUAAGGCGAAGAUGGCAACCAUGCGUGGGUUCGAAUCACGCCGGGGCCA